RNAcentral lists this ribosomal RNA (471 nucleotides) under uncultured Clostridium sp. RNAcentral describes it as "bacterial SSU rRNA". It matches the Rfam family "Bacterial small subunit ribosomal RNA", at positions 97 to 584 of the family's 1533-position model. Lineage: Bacteria; Bacillati; Bacillota; Clostridia; Eubacteriales; Clostridiaceae. The record is from RNAcentral.
GGCGGACGGGUGAGUAACACGUGGGCAACCUGCCUUAUAGAGGGGGAUAGCCUUCCGAAAGGAAGAUUAAUACCGCAUAACAUCAUUUUACCGCAUGGUAGUUUGAUCAAAGGAGCAAUCCGCUAUAAGAUGGGCCCGCGGCGCAUUAGCUAGUUGGUGAGGUAACGGCUCACCAAGGCGACGAUGCGUAGCCGACCUGAGAGGGUGAUCGGCCACAUUGGGACUGAGACACGGCCCAGACUCCUACGGGAGGCAGCAGUGGGGAAUAUUGCACAAUGGGGGAAACCCUGAUGCAGCAACGCCGCGUGAGUGAUGAAGGCCUUCGGGUUGUAAAGCUCUGUCUUUGGGGACGAUAAUGACGGUACCCAAGGAGGAAGCCACGGCUAACUACGUGCCAGCAGCCGCGGUAAUACGUAGGUGGCAAGCGUUGUCCGGAUUUACUGGGCGUAAAGGGAGCGUAGGUGGAUAUUU